Molecule: long non-coding RNA, 857 nt
Organism: Harmonia axyridis
Lineage: Eukaryota; Metazoa; Arthropoda; Insecta; Coleoptera; Coccinellidae
Exons: 3
Source: RefSeq, a predicted model, not a curated record
GAGCUGAGACACGCAGAUUUGUGUUUGAGACCGAGAAAAACUAACUUGAGACGCCGAAAUUUGAAAAGAAAUGCAGUCCCAACAAAAAACCUUCCUACAGGUACUCAUGAGAACAUAAAGAAGAAAGAAAGACUGAAUUUAACUAGAUAUGAUCCUGUACAACAACCAAUUUUGAAAUCUGACUGUGAAGUAAUGACACAAAAUCAAGAUGAAAAUGAACUUCAUGCUCAGGAAAUUAUUCAAUAAUUUUUGAGCAGAGUGGUGUCAUAUCCUCCCUGAAGCCUAAUGAGGAUGCCAUUAUGGUGGAUUGAAGUUUUCUAAUUGAUGAAAUUUGUUCGGAAAACGGAAUAAAACUGAUUCGCCCACCAUUCAUGCGAAACAGAAAACAAAUUUCUCUUCAGGAGGUUGAACAAAAUAUAUUCAUAGCUAGAGCAAGAGUCCAUAUCGAACGUGUGAACCAGAGGAUAAAAAUUUUCAAAAUUUUGAGUAAUGUUUUACCGUGGAACCUGGUUCCUAAAAUAGAAGAAAUAAUGAUUAUAUGUUGUGCGAUUGUAAACCUGUCCAGCCCCAUUUUUUCUGAAGAUAAUUUCUGAAUAUUUUUGUAUUUUGCCUUUAUUUCGAGUAGCAAUAUAGAUGUUAAAUCUAAAGCUUCUGUGUAGCGAAACAGUUGUUAUUUAUAUAUAUAUAUAUAUAUAUAUAUAUAUAUAUAUAAUCUGUAUCCCAUUUGUCACCUUUCAGUGUAUGGGUUAGUUGUUAUUUAAAUAAUAAAUAAGUGGAAAUAGAAUAACUGGAAUUUUAUUUCAAAAAAUAUAUUAAUUUUUCAAUUAUUCAUUACAAAUAUGGUGUAACAUUUUCUC